AUUGAACGCUGGCGGCAGGCCUAACCCAUGCAAGUCGAACGAGUGGCGGACGGGUGAGUAAUGUCUGGGAAACUGCCUGAUGGAGGGGGAUAACUACUGGAAACGGUAGCUAAUACCGCAUACCAUCAGAUGUGGCCAGAUGGGAUUAGCGUGUUGGUGGGGUAACGGCUCAACAAGGCGACGAUCCCUAGCUGGUCUGGGAGGAUGACCAGCCACACUGGAACUCAGACACGGUCCAGACUCCUACGUGUGGCGGAAGUGGGGAAUAUUGCACAAGGGGCGCAAGCCUGAUGCAGCCAUGCCGCGUGUAUGAAGAAGGCCUUCGGGUUGUAAAGUACUUUCAGUGGGGAGGCGUUACCCGCAGAAGAAGCACCGGCUAACUCCGUGCCAGCAGCCGCGGUAAUUC
RNAcentral lists this ribosomal RNA (406 nucleotides) under uncultured bacterium. Its description in RNAcentral is "partial 16S ribosomal RNA". It matches the Rfam family "Bacterial small subunit ribosomal RNA", at positions 30 to 526 of the family's 1533-position model. The record is from RNAcentral.